Molecule: long non-coding RNA, 795 nt
Filed under: Triticum aestivum (bread wheat)
Lineage: Eukaryota; Viridiplantae; Streptophyta; Magnoliopsida; Poales; Poaceae
Description: long non-coding RNA (TAES_LNC014410)
Source: RNAcentral
GGGAUAUCGCGCACCUAUAGAGGUAAGCAGAUUGUGUAGAACUGCAGCUUGUUAUGUAUAAUGCUGUUUGAUUUAAUCUGAUGCUAUUUUAGACUUAUGCAACCAAAUCUAUCAGAAAGAGUGCAUGAUAAAUAAAGUUUAUAUAAUGGAAGAGGAAAUCCACCCAGCGAGAGCAUGAUGAAGUAGACCACUCUACUUUUUAAACUGGGAACUUCGAUUGGAAAUUGUUACUGAUUAUUGAAGUCGCAUGGUAAGAUAGCUGAAUAGUACUAUUUCAGUACUGGAAGUUUAUGCAAGUUGGUGCACAGUACCGGAAGUGGUGGUAUGAGUGAAAUGAAGCACACUUCUGAUGGGGAGAAAAAACGACUCGUUCGUAAGGAGACAAUUGAUCUCUUCUGAAUCAAGGUGAUGUUGGUUCGACAGAUGGAUAUCUUUACCUAUUUUUGUGAAGAGUUUUGUGUGAACCUGGAAACGACAAGGGGAAAUAUAAUACAGGGUCUAGCAUGAGAAGACAUUGAUUUUGAGCACAAAUGCAAAAAUGCAUAACCGAAAAAUUAAAAGGCCUUUGUUAAUGUCUCAGUUGGUAGUCUUCGUCGGUUAAUUUUCGUCCUAUCUACCAUGUUUUUUUCGUUCUCCCUCCCACCUUACGGUUCCAAAAAAACCAACCAAAACCAACUGAGCCCUGUCCCACAAAACGAAAUCAGAGGAAUGAGGCCUCCAUGACUCCUCUCUCGAUCUGUUUCCUAGGGACUGAACACCGCCGCCGCCGCCGAUCCCAUCUUCCCCGGUGACAUG